This 301-nucleotide ribosomal RNA is filed under the name uncultured bacterium. RNAcentral's name for it is "partial 16S ribosomal RNA". It matches the Rfam family "Bacterial small subunit ribosomal RNA", at positions 509 to 809 of the family's 1533-position model. The record is from RNAcentral.
CAGCCGCCGCGGGAAUACGUAGGUGGCAAGCGUUGUCCGGAAUUAUUGGGCGUAAAGGGCUCGCAGGCGGUUUCUUAAGUCUGAUGUGAAAGCCCCCGGCUCAACCGGGGAGGGUCAUUGGAAACCGGGAAACUUGAGUGCAGAAGAGGAGAGUGGAAUUCCACGUGUAGCGGUGAAAUGCGUAGAGAUGUGGAGGAACACCAGUGGCGAAGGCGACUCUCUGGUCUGUAACUGACGCUGAGGAGCGAAAGCGUGGGGAGCGAACAGGAUUAGAUACCCCGGUAGUCCCUGUCUCUUAUAA